ACUCCUACGGGAGGCAGCAGUGGGAAUAUUGCACAAUGGGAACCGUACAUGCAGCCAUGCCGCGUGUGUGAAGAAGGCCUUCGGGUUGUAAAGCACUUUCAGUAGGGAGGAAGGUAGUGUAGUUAACACCUGCAUUAUUUGACGUUACCUACAGAAGAAGCACCGGCUAACUCCGUGCCAGCAGCCGCGGUAAUACGGAGGGUGCGAGCGUUAAUCGGAAUUACUGGGCGUAAAGCGCAUGCAGGCGGCCUGUUAAGUCAGAUGUGAAAGCCGGGCU
Molecule: ribosomal RNA, 277 nt
Filed under: uncultured bacterium
Lineage: Bacteria
Description: partial 16S ribosomal RNA
Rfam family: Bacterial small subunit ribosomal RNA
Source: RNAcentral